GGAAGUAAAAAGUCGUAACAAGGUUUCCGUAGGUGAACCUGCGGAAGGAUCAUUAUUGAAUACACAAGGACUGUCGCUGGCUAGGUUCAUUCUUAGCAUGUGCACGUCUACCACACUUUCCACACUUGUGCACCAAUUGUAGAUAACCCUUGAAAGAGGAUUCUAUGUCUUUUAUAAUCUCAUCUAAUGUAUGUCCUUAGAAUGUAACAAAAAAAUUUAUACAACUUUCAGCAACGGAUCUCUUGGUUCUCGCAUCGAUGAAGAACGCAGCGAAUUGCGAUAAGUAAUGUGAAUUGCAGAUUUUCAGUGAAUCAUCGAAUCUUUGAACGCACCUUGCGCUCCUUGGUAUUCCGAGGAGCAUGCCUGUUUGAGUGUCAUUAAAUUAUCAACCAUAGUCUUUAUUGGCUUUUGGCUUGGACUUGGGAUUUGCUGGCCUAGUCAGCUGUCCUUAAAAGCAUUAGCAAGUGAAGUAGACGGUGCACGGCCUCUGACGUGAUAAUGAUCGUCGUGGGCUGGAAGCGUCAUAAUGAAGCUUGCUUUAAUUUUGAAUUUGAAUUUGAAAUUCUAUUACCAUUUUGACCUCAAAUCAGGUAGGACUACCCGCUGAACUUAAGCAUAUCAAUAA
RNAcentral lists this ribosomal RNA (625 nucleotides) under Leccinum caespitosum. RNAcentral describes it as "eukaryotic LSU rRNA". The stretch from base 223 to 377 matches the Rfam family "5.8S ribosomal RNA". Lineage: Eukaryota; Fungi; Basidiomycota; Agaricomycetes; Boletales; Boletaceae. The record is from RNAcentral.